This 22-nucleotide microRNA is filed under the name Magallana gigas (Pacific oyster). RNAcentral's name for it is "Mgi-Mir-12589_3p (mature (guide))". Lineage: Eukaryota; Metazoa; Mollusca; Bivalvia; Ostreida; Ostreidae. The record is from RNAcentral.
AUUGUAGAAAACGACACAAUAU